GGGGAAAUAGUGUAGUGGUAUCACAUAAGCUUCGCAUGUUUGUAACCGGGGUUCAAUUCCCCGUUUCUCCA
Molecule: transfer RNA, 71 nt
Filed under: Mrakia frigida
Lineage: Eukaryota; Fungi; Basidiomycota; Tremellomycetes; Cystofilobasidiales; Mrakiaceae
Description: tRNA-Ala (CGC) (tRNA-Ala-CGC-1-1)
Rfam family: tRNA
About the family: Transfer RNA (tRNA) molecules are approximately 80 nucleotides in length. Their secondary structure includes four short double-helical elements and three loops (D, anti-codon, and T loops).
Source: RNAcentral